This 450-nucleotide ribosomal RNA is filed under the name uncultured bacterium. Its description in RNAcentral is "partial 16S ribosomal RNA". It matches the Rfam family "Bacterial small subunit ribosomal RNA", at positions 354 to 796 of the family's 1533-position model. The record is from RNAcentral.
GUGGGGAAUAUUGGACAAUGGGCGAAAGCCUGAUCCAGCCAUGCCGCGUGUGUGAAGAAGGUCUUCGGAUUGUAAAGCACUUUAAGUUGGGAGGAAGGGCAGUAAGUUAAUACCUUGCUGUUUUGACGUUACCGACAGAAUAAGCACCGGCUAACUUCGUGCCAGCAGCCGCGGUAAUACGAAGGGUGCAAGCGGUAAUCGGAAUUACUGGGCGUAAAGCGCGCGUAGGUGGUUUUGUAAGUUGGAGGUGAAAACCCCGGGCUCCACCUUGGACAUGCCUCCAAAACUGCAUGGGUAGAGUACGGUAGAGGGGAAUGGAAAUUCCUGUGUAACGGUGAAAUGCGUAGAUAUAGGAAGGAACACCAGUGGCGAAGGCGACUACCUGGACUGAUACUGACACUGAGGUGCGAAAGCGUGGGGAGCAAACAGGAUUAGAAAACCCAGUAGUCC